GUUCCCCCCGUGUCGCUGUUCCCCCCGUGUCGCUGUUCCCCCCGUGUCGCUGUUCCCCCCGUGUCGCUGUUCCCCCCGUGUCGCUGUUCCCCCCGUGUCGCUGUUCCCCCCGUGUCGCUGUUCCCCCCGUGUCGCUGUUCCCCCCGUGUCGCUGUUCCCCCCGUGUCGCUGUUCCCCCCGUGUCGCUGUUCCCCCCGUGUCGCUGUUCCCCCCGUGUCGCUGUUCCCCCCGUGUCGCUGUUCCCUCCGUGUCCGUAUUCCUCCCGUGUCCGUAUUCCUUACCUGCACCUUUUCCUGCAGGUGGGACUCAGGGUACUUGUUCAGCACAUGUGCUUUCCUCUUCGUCUUCUAGGAGGGAGUGGUUGGGUCUGGGCUCCCUGUUCCCAAGCCCACGUUGUGUUCAUGGCUGUGGCUGCCUGGGUGAUGAGUGUGAGUUUGCACCUGGGUUUCCCUGGGCCUUAAGCAGACAGCGUCACCCUCAGAGCCAUCACCACUGUGAAUCAUUUGGAUCUUUUUCCAUCUGGGCAUAAAAUUGUAUGUGUAGACAA
Long non-coding RNA from Homo sapiens (human), 547 nucleotides. The record is from Ensembl. Lineage: Eukaryota; Metazoa; Chordata; Mammalia; Primates; Hominidae.